AUACGGAGGGAGCGGGCGUUGUCCGGCAUGAUUGGGCGAAAAGGGCGAGUAGGCGGCGUGGGAAGUGUGGAGUGAAAGUCCUGCUUUCCAGGUGGGCAUUGCUUUGGCUACUGCCGCGCUUGAGUGCAGGAGAGGUUAUCGGAAUUCCCGGUGUAGCGGAGAACUGCGUAGAGAUCGGGAGGAAAACCAGUGGAGAAGGCGGGUAACUGGACUGCAACUGACGCUGAGGCGCGAAAGUGUGGGGAGCAAACAGGAUGAGAUACCCUGGUAGUCCACACUGUAAACGAUGAAUGCUAGGUGUAAGAGGUAUCGACCCCUUUUGUGCCGGAGUCAACACAAUAAGCAUCCCGCCUGGGGAGUACGGCCGCAAGGUUGAAACUCAAAGGAAUUGACGGGG
RNAcentral lists this ribosomal RNA (397 nucleotides) under uncultured bacterium. RNAcentral describes it as "partial 16S ribosomal RNA". It matches the Rfam family "Bacterial small subunit ribosomal RNA", at positions 523 to 918 of the family's 1533-position model. The record is from RNAcentral.